AAUUUUUUGGUGUUACAACCUCUAAUUUGUGUUCUUCGCCUAUAUUCUAAUUAACCGGCCUCAGAUAGGUGUGGCUACUAUAUUAGUCCACUUACAAUUGCUUAACAUAGCGCUACAUUAUCUUAUGACAAGUUAACAUAACUCUACUAACUAAUAAGUUAAAUUUGAGCUUUUAAAUUCUUGUCAUUUACUUUAAAUGUCAUUUAUUUCUUGCUCAUUAUUCAUAUUGAC
This 231-nucleotide long non-coding RNA is filed under the name Lathyrus oleraceus (garden pea). Its description in RNAcentral is "Pisum sativum (pea) long non-coding RNA (PSAT_LNC016892)". Lineage: Eukaryota; Viridiplantae; Streptophyta; Magnoliopsida; Fabales; Fabaceae. The record is from RNAcentral.